AUCCUCAAUUCCAAAUUAGUUGAUUUCUUUUAAAUGGUAAAAUUUGACUCAUAAUGAAAAGAAUCUCCCACGGGGCCAAAGCCUUGCGAACCCAAAGAAGAUGGGACAAAAUACACUAGUAAUUUCUUUCCAUCUAAUCUUGGUAGACAUAGUUACCUAGCACAUUUUGCUAGUAGAAGAUGGGUGGUGACAGAUAUCUAGUGGAAUUAGUUGAGGUGAGUGAAACCUGGCCCUUACACCAAGGUUAUCGAAGUGACACCAUGGUUAUCAAAAUUGAGGUGAGCAAAAGGCUAGCCCAGACACCACGGUUAUCAAGGUAAGGUGAGCAAAAGCUGGCCCAAACACCACGGUUAUCAAAGUCAAGGUGAGCAAAAGUUGGCCCAAACAUCAUGGUUAUCUAAGUCAAGGUGACUUAAAGCUGGCCCAAGACAUCACAGUUAUCAAAACCGAGGCUAGGAAAGCUACCCUGAACACCACGGUUAUUAAAAAAACUACUUUACAUGGUAGAAUUUGACUCAUAAUGAACAAAUCUCUCGGGGCCAAAUCUAUCCUAGCCUUGGUGGACAAAGCUACCCAGUACUUGUUGCUGGUGAUGGGAGCUGACAGUUAUCAAGAGGAAUUAGCUGAGGUGAGAAAAAGCUAGGCCAAGAAACACAAUUAUCAAACUCAAGGUCAGCAAAAGCUGGCCGAGACACUACGAUUAUCAAACUCAAGGUCAACAAAAGCUGGCCGAGACACUACGGUUAUCAAAGCCGUGUGAGCCAAAGCUGGCCCAAACACCACAAUUAUCAAAGUCUAGCUGAGCUAAAGCUAUCCCGAACACCACAAUUAUCAAAUUCAAGAUAAGCAAAAGCUGACCCGAACACCACAAUUAUCCAAAAAAAAAAAAAAAACUAUAUUCAUACGCAACCAACCCUAAUCUAACUAAUUCCCACUACAUAAAC
This 944-nucleotide long non-coding RNA is filed under the name Capsicum annuum. RNAcentral's name for it is "long non-coding RNA (CANN_LNC021092)". Lineage: Eukaryota; Viridiplantae; Streptophyta; Magnoliopsida; Solanales; Solanaceae. The record is from RNAcentral.